RNAcentral lists this ribosomal RNA (460 nucleotides) under uncultured bacterium. RNAcentral describes it as "partial 16S ribosomal RNA". It matches the Rfam family "Bacterial small subunit ribosomal RNA", at positions 338 to 795 of the family's 1533-position model. The record is from RNAcentral.
CCUACGGGCGGCAGCAGUGAGGAAUAUUCGACAAUGGGCGCGAGCCUGAACCAGCAAAGUAGCGUGAAGGAUGAAUGCCCUCCGGGCUGUAAACUUCUUUUAUAAAGGAAUAAAGUGAGGCACGUGUGUCUUUUUGUAUGUACUUUAUGAAUACGGAUCGGCUAACUCCGUGCCAGCCGCCGCGGUGAUACGUAGGAUCCGAGCGUUAUCCGGAUUUAUUGGGUUUAAAGGGAGCGUAGAUGGUUUGUUAAGUCAGUUGUGAAAGUCUGCGGCUCAACCGUACAAGUGCAAUGGAAACUGGCAGCCUUGAGUACAGUAGAGGUAGGCGGAAUUCGAGGUGUAGCGGUGAAAUGCUUAGAUAUAACGAAGAACUCCGAUUGCGAAGGCAGCUUACUAAACUGCCACUGACAUUGAGGCUCGAAAGUGUGGGUAGCAAACAGGAUUAGAUACCCGAGUAGUC